CUUACGGCCAUAUCACGUUUAAACACCAGAUCUCGUACGAUCACCGAAGUUAAGCAAAGUCGAGUAUGGUCAGUAUCUAGAUGGGUGACCG
This is a non-coding RNA of Acanthosepion pharaonis, 91 nucleotides long. The record is from the annotation of a GenBank genome assembly. NCBI's taxonomy places the organism in Eukaryota, Metazoa, Mollusca, Cephalopoda, Sepiida, Sepiidae.